This 440-nucleotide ribosomal RNA is filed under the name uncultured bacterium. Its description in RNAcentral is "partial 16S ribosomal RNA". It matches the Rfam family "Bacterial small subunit ribosomal RNA", at positions 338 to 795 of the family's 1533-position model. The record is from RNAcentral.
CCUACGGGGUGCAGCAGUAGGGAAUCUUGCUCAAUGGGCGGAACCCUGAAGCAGCAACGCCGCGUGGGGGAUGAAGGUUUUCGGAUUGUAAACUCCUUUUGUUAGAGAAGAUAAUGACGGUAUCUAACGAAUAAGCACCGUCUAAAUCCGUUCCAGCAGCCGCGGUAAUACGGAGGGUGCAGGCGUUACUCGGAAUCACUGGGCGGAAAGAGCGCGUAGGCGGGAUAGCAAGUCAGAUGUGAAAUCCUAUGGCGUAACCAUAGAACUGCAUUUGAAACUGUUAUUCUAGAGUAUGGGAGAGGUAGGUGGAAUUCUUGGUGUAGCGGUAAAAUGCGUAGAGAUCAAGAGGAACACUGAUUGCGAAGGCGACUUGCUAGAACAUAACUGACGCUGAGGCGCGAAAGCGUGGGGAGCAAACAGGAUUAGAUACCCGAGUAGUC